RNAcentral lists this ribosomal RNA (466 nucleotides) under uncultured bacterium. RNAcentral's name for it is "partial 16S ribosomal RNA". It matches the Rfam family "Bacterial small subunit ribosomal RNA", at positions 28 to 507 of the family's 1533-position model. The record is from RNAcentral.
GAUGAACGCUGGCGGCGGGCUUAACACAUGCAAGUCGAACGAUGAAGCCCAGCUUGCUGGGUGGAUUAGUGGCGAACGGGUGAGUAACACGUGAGUAACCUGCCCUUGACUCUGGGAUAAGCCUGGGAAACUGGGUCUAAUACUGGAUAUGACUUCUCAUCGCAUGGUGGGGGGUGGAAAGAUUUAUUGGUCGUGGAUUGACUCGCGGCCUAUCAGCUUGUUGGUGCGGUAAUGGCUCACCAAGGCGAAGACGGGUAGCCGGCCUGAGAGGGUGACCGGCCACACUGGGACUGAGACACGGCCCAGACUCCUACGGGAGGCAGCGGUGGGGAAUAUUGCCCAAUGGGCGCAAGCCUGAUGCAGCGACGCCGCGUGAGGGAUGACGGCCUUCGGGUUGUAAACCUCUUUCAGUAGGGAAGAAGCGAGAGUGACGGUACCUGCAGAAGAAGCGCCGGCUAACUACGUG